ACUCCUUGAGGCGGCAGCACCUCAGGACAGGAAAAGCUGCCAGAGUGGGUGGUGAGCCAGGAAUCACGAGAGCUGUGACUUCCAGAAUCCAGGUAUGUGAGCGUCCACUGAUGUUCUUGCUGGAUACCCCUGGGGUGCUGGCUCCUCGGAUUCAAAGUGUGGAGACAGGCCUGAAGCUGGCCCUGUGUGGUAAGCCUCUGCCCCAUUGCUGACCUUGACUGUGACCAAGGCAGGAGGACUUGUUACUCCCUCCACCCUUCCUGAUACCAGAUGCUUUUCACAGUUUUGAGAGGGAGACUAGCUCACGGCAGGCAUGUGCUGGCUACCAUUCUGCCCUGUAGUAGGGUAGACAAAGAGGUCAUGCUUGGCAACCAAGCCAAGCCAUAUAGGAAGAAGGUCAACAACUGUGAGCCAACCUGCAGGAGGGCUCCUUUGCUUGAGGCCUCUGCCUUCAAGUGGGAGCCAUUCAGGCUUGGUGGGGCAUAGAUGGCCACUGUACCAUAGGCUUGCAUUAGCUGCUUGUCUUGCAGGAACUGUGUUGGACCACCUUGUUGGGGAAGAGACCAUGGCUGAUUAUCUCCUUUACACCCUCAACAGGCAUGGGCUAUUUGGGUAUGUGCAGCACUAUGCCCUGGCCAGUGCCUCUGACCACAUAGAGUGGGUGCUGAAGAACGUGGCCAUCAAGCUGGGGAAGACACGGAAAGUGAAGGUUCUCACAGGCACAG
RNAcentral lists this long non-coding RNA (725 nucleotides) under Rattus norvegicus (Norway rat). RNAcentral's name for it is "long non-coding RNA NONRATT001331". The record is from RNAcentral. Lineage: Eukaryota; Metazoa; Chordata; Mammalia; Rodentia; Muridae.